UAGGGAAUCUUCCGCAAUGGGCGAAAGCCUGACGGAGCAACGCCGCGUGAGUGAUGAAGGUCUUCGGAUCGUAAAACUCUGUUAUUAGGGAAGAACAAAUGUGUAAGUAACUAUGCACGUCUUGACGGUACCUAAUCAGAAAGCCACGGCUAACUACGUGCCAGCAGCCGCGGUAAUACGUAGGUGGCAAGCGUUAUCCGGAAUUAUUUGGCGUAAAGCGCGCGUAGGCGGUUUUUUAAGUCUGAUGUGAAAGCCCACGGCGCAACCGUGGGGGGUCAUUGGAAACUGGAAAACUUGAGUGCAGAAGAGGAAAAUAGAAGUCCAUGUGUAGCGGUGAAAUGCGGAGAGGUAAGGAGGAACACCAGUGGCGAAGGCGACUUUCUGGUCUGUAACUGACGCUGAUGUGCGAAAGCGUGGAGAUCAAACAGC
Molecule: ribosomal RNA, 429 nt
Filed under: Actinomycetes bacterium
Lineage: Bacteria; Bacillati; Actinomycetota; Actinomycetes
Description: Actinobacteria bacterium partial 16S ribosomal RNA
Rfam family: Bacterial small subunit ribosomal RNA
Source: RNAcentral